Long non-coding RNA from Dicentrarchus labrax (European seabass), 1817 nucleotides. RefSeq lists it as uncharacterized. The transcript is spliced from 2 exons. The record is from RefSeq and is a predicted model, not a curated record. NCBI's taxonomy places the organism in Eukaryota, Metazoa, Chordata, Actinopteri, Moronidae.
AAAUCUGUGAGAGAAAGCGGGAUGAGUAUUGGCAGCAACGCAAAGUAUGUUCAGUCCUGCAUGCAAUAAUGAGCCAAACAAAUAUAUGUAACUCCCAAGGGUGAAAACAAAGACCAACAGAUAUAACACAUGCUAACUGUUAAACACAAUGGUCCAGUCUUUGGCAGUCAGUGAUAUUUAAACACUAUCACUGGCACAAACACAAUGAGUCCUUUCAUAGAUUAACAUGCAGGCACCAAUUCAACCAAAAGGGAACAAUGUAAUAAGGUAUGAGCUGUGCCUGAAUUCCAUACUACAUACAGAUUUAAUAGUGUACAGUUGUGCUUACUGUACACUUUUGCAGUGUGAAUGAACUACACACUCUAAACUUUCUUAGAAUCAGUAUGUAGCAUGGAUUUGGGACCAAGCUAUUGUAUAAUAAAUAUUAUUAUUAAUUAUAUUCAUGGGUGAGGCCUAGCUCCAUUUGCUUGAGAGCCAGUUCUGAAUGUGUCCUAUUGAAAACUUGUGGAAAGUGGCUGUACUCUGCAGUUUGUCACAGGUGGGCAGUUAACCCAACAUAUAUCUGCCAAACCAACCAGUUAGUCCUCAUCCUCCAAGAGUUUUCUCUUAUAAAACCUUAUGAAGCAUAAAUCUCACCUUCAUGUGGUUUGUUCAAGCAAGUUUUCAAGUACAUCUAUAACUACUUCGCCUCUUUCUAUUCUCCCAAGCUGGAAUAGCCUUACUGCCCCUUGUGGCUGUGGGGGGCAAAAACACACAUUGCAAGUACUGUUGAACUGCAGUUGUGGUGGGUGGUUUUUUUCUUCCAUUAGCCACAAAGGGGAGUAAUGAGAUAAUUCAGCAACACUCAACUAACAAACUUUGACAAACCAUACAAAAAUGAUAUCUAUAACUUCUCCUUAGUGUUUUCUAGCAGCAUGUUUGGGUUUUACCAGUGAAAAGACUACAAGGAUAAGGACUAACUGGUCGGUGUACAUCAGGUUAACUUCCCCACCUCCAGCUCAGAGCAGCACACGUCGCUCUCUAAACAUUUCUAUGGAAGCAUCCAGAACCGUCUCCCACGCUGUGAAUUAAACAAACCCAAAUGGGGCUAGGGUGGCGGGGUUACACGAUGGUCAGGGAUAAACCACGGGAGGUUACAUUGUACAUCUUUACCAACUCACCUGAGUCGGCCUGCCAUGAAACAGACAGACAUGUAGGAAGAGAUGCAUUCAGAGGCCAGUUGAGAGCACAAUACACAGUAAACAAAAUCAUAAUAGGCCUUCACCUUUCUAAACUGUCUACCUUCCUGUUUAUGCCAUGCAAAAGGGAAAUUAUGAUGUAAUCAACAUCCGACUAGCAGUAGUCAGAAUUUCCAGAAAUAUGACUGAAGUAUAAGUGAGGAGGAUGGUGGGACUUGUUACUGAGCCACUUGCUACUUUCAGGUUCGCUCACUGCAGACACACUCAACUCAGGAUGACCACCACACGAAAACCAGUAAAAGACACAGAUAUCAGGAUAUGAUGUUCUUCCUGCAAAUAACUGAUGUGCUGGAAGACAACAAGGACCCCUAUCUGCAGUUUUAAAAAAAACAUCUCCACAAAAAUGAUAAAGUUCUUAAUCUUUAAUAAGUAGAAAGUCAUCAUUAGAGGACACGUGUUCAACCCAUGACACUGGACCUUUUUGCAUACUACAUGCAUCCAACAAAAGAAUCCAGAGAGGACUAAACAAAGAAUAAAAGUGAAUGUCUACGGUAGAAAGAUUAUCCGACGUCAGUAAAAUGUACCAAUAAUCACAUUUUACUUGCUCUUUACGAUUAAAUCUUCAUUCAUAAUGCUUAA